RNA transcript from Gadus morhua (Atlantic cod), 3360 nucleotides. It is a transcript of the gene named PX domain containing serine/threonine kinase, with no coding region annotated. The transcript has 19 exons. The record is from RefSeq and is a predicted model, not a curated record. NCBI's taxonomy places the organism in Eukaryota, Metazoa, Chordata, Actinopteri, Gadiformes, Gadidae.
GGGUGAUGGAGGUGGCCAAGCUGGUUGCCCCUGGUUACUGCACACUGGCGGUUUCUUCAUUAGGAUGUUGUGUGUUGUCCUGUGUGGACGCGGUGUCUAAAGCGGCCCGCAGAGGGCGCUACAGGCGCACUCCGAAAUAAAAUGAAACUGAAUCUUUCCCAUUUCAACAGAAAGCGUCUUUUAUUGUUCCAAGCCACGUUGGGUAAUAUUUAUCCAACGGAGGCUAUUUCAAAACUGUGUUAGUGACCAGAAGCAGCUGAUUAUUGACUCCCCCUGUUUCCAGUUAGCCCUCAGUUUGGAAAUCAGUCACACAACUGAAGGGGAGGAGGUGAGGACAUCCUUGAGUGGGUUCUUAUCGGCGUUGGAGUUGAAUAUUGCUUACCAUUGACACACUGGUGUAUAGAGGCCUGAAAACAACUCGUGGAUCCAAAGCAACCUUUGGAUUAGUACAACCUGGUUCUCCUCAGAAUGGUACCGUCAACCGUGAGGCGAACCUUUACUUUGUAAUCAUCCGGAAAUGUUUGAAAUGACGUUUUCUACUCGGCUGUCAAGACGGACUGGGCUUGCUUAUUAUUGAUUAUUGGCAACGCGGCCGUCAAACCAUAGCAGCCCCACAACCGCUCCAGAGGAGUUCUACCGGUUCUCCACACACCCAGCGGGCCGGGCCCGGGGAGUAGGCCGGGCUACGGGAUGUGUUCGGUGGACAAGCCGCCCGCCUGCAGGCUGUUGCUGGACGACACCGUGCCGCUGGCCGCGGUGAUCGAAGCCAGCCAGACCCUCCAGUCUCACACGGAGUACAUCAUCAGAGUCCAGAGGGGUGUGUCUUCAGAGAACAGCUGGCAGGUGAUUCGUCGUUACAGUGACUUCGACAUGCUACAUAGCAGUCUCCAGGUUUCAGGGAUCAGUCUGUCCUUCCCACCUAAGAAGCUGAUAGGAAACAUGGACAGGGAGUUUAUAGCAGAGAGACAGAAGGGCCUACAGGCCUACUUGGACUACAUUACCCACAAUCCCCUGCUUUCCAGCUCAGAAGCUGUCAAGAAGUUUCUGGACCCUAACAGCUACUCCUCCAACUACACAGAGAUCGCCCUCCAGCAGGUGUCCAUGUACUUUCGGUCGGACUCCCGGUGGGAGGUGGUGGAACCUCUUAAAGACAUCGGGUGGAGACUCAGGAAGCAGUACUUCCUGAUCCGGAGCCGGGAACAGCCCAAAGACAGGAACCUGCUGAGCUGGGUGGACCUGGGACCUGAUAAGUUUCUGUCAGAUAAAGACCUGCAGGCAGUCAUGAAGCUGCUGACCUCCAUGAAUCACCCCUGUAUCGGUCCGCUGUUGUUCUCCAGCACCAGUGAGUCUUCAGCCCUGGUCAUCAGACCCUUCAGUGAGAGAGGAACGCUGCGGGACCUCAUCUACAAGGUGAAGGUGAAGGAUGUCUUCCUGAAGAAGUACUGUAACCCCAAGAAGAGCGAAGGACUGGAGCUCCGCCAAAUCCAGCACUACGGACGACACAUACUGGAGGGUCUCCGGUUCCUCCAGGACCAGGGGCUUCCCUACGGCCACCUCCAGUCCUCCAACGUGCUGCUGGAGCAGACGCCCCCGGCGACCUCUGACCUCCUGGCCUGCCGCCUGCUGGAUGUGGAGAACAGCCUGCUGGGGCUGCCUGCCUUCUACCGCCCGCUGGUCGCCCUCAACCGCCGCAUCAACACCACAGAGUGUGUAGACGUCUUUUCCUUCGGCCUGGUUCUGUAUGAGAUGACCUACGGCCACCCCCCCGAGCCCCCCCCUGUGGACCAGUUUCCCCCCUCCCCCCACCCUGCCAUAGUUUCUGUGCUCCAGUCCAUCCUCUCAACAGAAGCGUUUAAAACUGGACCACCAACCGUCAGUCAACUCAUACAGACACAGCUGUUUCGAGACGUCCAGAUGCCACAGUCAGACAAACAGCCGUUUAAGAUCCCCAGCAGACUGAAGGAGGCGCUGCGCUCCUCGAAGGAGCUCCUGGAGAGGAGGCUACAGGAGGAGCAGCGACAGCUGAACCAGCAUCGCCGUCUGACCCGAGCUCAGUCCCACCACGGAUCAGAGGAACAGAAGAAGAGACGCAAACUCCUGGCCCGGAAGAAGUCCCGACAGUCGGCUUAUGAAAACGAAGAGGAAACAUCUGUCAAAUACAACAACAACUCUGGUUCUGGAGCAAGCUCACCUCCGACAUCGCCCUCACCCCCCACACCCCUCUCGGCCACAGAGCAUGCACCGUUCUGAUGGUAAAGUACUCAUGGUGAUGAUGAUGAUGAUGAUGAUGAUGAUGAUGAUGAUGGUCUCUUUAAGCUGCCAUGCAACCUUCCUCCAAGCCACCACCUGGCCCCCUUAUUACUGUUAAGCGUACUACAAGUAUACCACAGUAUCAGAGUACUACCCCUGUUUUGAGUACUUCUAAGGUACUUCUAAAGUACACAGUGGUACUUAAAGCUAACCGUGCUAGCAGCUAGCCGUACUAGCAGCUCAGGUACUAACAGCUAGCCCUACUGGCAGCUAGCCAUGCUGGCAGCUAGCCAUGCUGGCAGCUAGCCCUACUAGCAGCCACCCGUGCUAGCAGCAAGCCAUACUAGAAGCUAGCCAAACUAGCAGCUAGCCAAACUAGCAGCUACCCAAAGUAGUGCUAGCCAUGCUGGCAGCGAGCCAUACUAGCAGCUAACAAUGCUGGCAGCUAGCUGUACUAGAAGCUAGCCUAGCCUAACCAGCGUCUGCUUCACGUCCCUUAUAGCAGCUCUUCUUCAUAUCCUACGUCGUUCUGUGUCAGGGGAACACCUCCGCCCUAAACCUCCAGGUCCUCCUGAAUGAGCUCCACCUCCUCCACUACCUCCUCCUUCCGUCUUUCUGUCCGUCUUCUAUGUUUUCCUGUCUGUCUUUUCUCAGUCCUAAUAUAUAAAUAGAUAAAAAGUUGGUAGGUUCGUUCAGGUAGGAGGGGGGUAGGUUUACCAUGGUUAGGAGGUAGGUAGGUUAGCCAUGGGUAGGAGGUAGGUAGGUUCACCACGGGUAGGAGGUAGGGUAGGUAGGUUCACCAUGGGUAGGAGGUAGGUAGGUUCACCACGGGUAGGAGAUAGGAUAGGUAGGUUCACCACGGGUAGUCCCAGCGGUCAGUCCAGCGUAGCCAUGGAAACGGCCUCAGUGAUGCUGCGCUUCACCCCCACGGUCGUUAACGCUCUUCACGUCCUCCGAUCUCUGCAGGACUACAGGCUCCUCCUCCUCCGCCCCCUGCCCCCCCCGCUCCUCCAGGCUGCCAGCCCCCGCCCCUGCCCUCCUCCAACGGGGGGGCGGGCCGGGGGGCCCUCCUCAGCUCCAUCCAGGGCUUCAGUAAGGGCCACCUGAAGA